AGCAGCCGCGGUAAUUCCAGCUCCAAUAGCGUAUAUUAAAGUUGUUGCAGUUAAAAAGCUCGUAGUUGAAUUUCGGGGUCAAUACGUCGGUCGUGCCUUCGGUACGUACUGGUGUUAUUGAUCUCUCCCUUCUGAUGAAUCAUGAUGUCAUUAAUUUGGUGUCGUGGGAAACAGGACUGUUACUUUGAAAAAAUUAGAGUGUUUAAAGCAGGCUAACGCUUGAAUACAUUAGCAUGGAAUAAUGAAAUAGGACGAGCGAUCCUAUUUUGUUGGUUUCUAGGAUUGACGUAAUGAUUAAUAGGGAUAGUUGGGGGCAUUAGUAUUCAAUUGUCAGAGGUGAAAUUCUUGGAUUUAUUGAAGACUAACUACUGCGAAAGCAUUUGCCAAGGAUGUUUUCAUUAAUCAAGAACGAAAGUUAGGGGAUCGAAGACGAUCAGAUACCGUCGUAGU
RNAcentral lists this ribosomal RNA (450 nucleotides) under uncultured Glomeromycotina. RNAcentral describes it as "SSU rRNA". It matches the Rfam family "Eukaryotic small subunit ribosomal RNA", at positions 569 to 1024 of the family's 1831-position model. Lineage: Eukaryota; Fungi; Glomeromycota. The record is from RNAcentral.